CCACAUGGCCAAAAUGACACGUUUCCACAAACCCACCCAACACACAGUCUAUGCAAGCAUUGGACAGUGUAGGAGCCAGAACACAUCCCAGAUGAACACCAGUUUUCACUGGAAAAGU
Molecule: long non-coding RNA, 118 nt
Organism: Thalassophryne amazonica
Lineage: Eukaryota; Metazoa; Chordata; Actinopteri; Batrachoidiformes; Batrachoididae
Exons: 3
Source: RefSeq, a predicted model, not a curated record